RNAcentral lists this ribosomal RNA (457 nucleotides) under uncultured bacterium. RNAcentral describes it as "SSU rRNA". It matches the Rfam family "Bacterial small subunit ribosomal RNA", at positions 26 to 518 of the family's 1533-position model. The record is from RNAcentral.
AGAAUCAACGCUGGCGGCGUGCCUAACACAUGCAAGUCGCACGAGAAAGGGACUUCGGUCCUGAGUACAGUGGCGCACGGGUGAGUAACACGUGAAUAAUCUACCUCCGAGUGGGGAAUAACUGAGAGAAAUCUUAGCUAAUACCGCAUAACACUUACGAGUCAAAGCAGCAAUGCGCUUGGAGAGGAGUUCGCGGCAGAUUAGUUAGUUGGCGGGGUAAUGGCCCACCAAGACGAUGAUCUGUAUCCGGCCUGAGAGGGCGCACGGACACACUGGAACUGAAACACGGUCCAGACUCCUACGGGAGGCAGCAGUGGGGAAUUUGCGCAAUGGGGGAAACCCUGACGCAGCAACGCCGCGUGGAGGAUGAAAUAUCUUGGUAUGUAAACUCCUUUCGAUGGGAAGAUAAUGACGGUACCCAUAGAAGAAGCCCCGGCUAACUCGUGCCAGCAGCCGC